RNAcentral lists this ribosomal RNA (253 nucleotides) under uncultured bacterium. RNAcentral describes it as "partial 16S ribosomal RNA". It matches the Rfam family "Bacterial small subunit ribosomal RNA", at positions 524 to 776 of the family's 1533-position model. The record is from RNAcentral.
GACGUAGGAGGCGAGCGUUGUCCGGAUUCAUUGGGCGUAAAGAGCACGCAGGCGGUUUGGCAAGUCGGAUGUGAAAACCCGAAGCUCAACUUCGGGCCUGCAUCCGAGACUGCCCGACUAGAGGUAGGUAGGGGAGAUCGGAAUUCCUGGUGUAGCGGUGAAAUGCGCAGAUAUCAGGAGGAACACCGGUGGCGAAGGCGGAUCUCUGGGCCUUACCUGACGCUCAGGUGCGAAAGCUAGGGGAGCGAACAGG